This 405-nucleotide ribosomal RNA is filed under the name uncultured Candidatus Neoehrlichia sp. RNAcentral's name for it is "bacterial SSU rRNA". It matches the Rfam family "Bacterial small subunit ribosomal RNA", at positions 355 to 776 of the family's 1533-position model. Lineage: Bacteria; Pseudomonadati; Pseudomonadota; Alphaproteobacteria; Rickettsiales; Anaplasmataceae. The record is from RNAcentral.
UGGGGAAUAUUGGACAAUGGGCGCAAGCCUGAUCCAGCUAUGCCGCAUGAGUGAAGAAGGCCUUAGGGUUGUAAAACUCUUUCAGCAGGGAAGAUAAUGACGGUACCUGCAGAAGAAGUCCCGGCAAACUCCGUGCCAGCAGCCGCGGUAAUACGGAGGGGGCAAGCGUUGUUCGGAAUUAUUGGGCGUAAAGGGCAUGUAGGCGGUUUAAUAAGUUAAAAGUGAAAUACCAGGGCUUAACCUUGGAGCUGCUUUUAAUACUAUUUAAACUAGAGAUCGAGAGAGGAUAGUGGAAUUCCUAGUGUAGAGGUGAAAUUCGUAGAUAUUAGGAGGAACACCAGUGGCGAAGGCGACUAUCUGGCUCAGUUCUGACGCUGAGGUGCGAAAGCGUGGGGAGCAAACAGG